Molecule: long non-coding RNA, 1536 nt
Filed under: Cyanistes caeruleus (blue tit)
Lineage: Eukaryota; Metazoa; Chordata; Aves; Passeriformes; Paridae
Description: lncRNA (ENSCCEG00000007439.1)
Source: RNAcentral
CAGCAAUUCCUGAAUUACAGGGGAAAAACACCUAGAGCAGCCUUUUACAGCUGCACUGAAGGUUGACCACAAACCAGGGUCGAUUGAAUCACUGAUCAGAGUUCCCUCUGCUUCCCACAGGAGGUGUCAAACGUCCUGGGCCCAGAUGAGCACGUGCAGAGCAGCCAGAGGGUGCAUCUGGUUCUGUUCAGUCCCCAGGGAGUGCUGGGUUUCAUUGUCUCCAGCACAGAAAUUCUGGAUGCGUUUCUCACGGGAGAUUUUUCCUCAGAUCAGCUGCUGCAGAAAGGGCACAGAGUGCAGAGGAGUUCCCCCAAAGACAGCCAGGCCUUGCCCCUCAUCCCUAACCCAGUGGUGUGUCUGGAAGCAGGGGAUACGAUCCUUUUCCAGCUCAGCAUCAAUUCCCAGGACCGUGCCUCCAGCCACUACCCCGUUUACCAGAAGCAACAUCUCUACAACAACAACCCAGGCUGGGAUUUCGGACCCUUCCGGAGGCUGGACCACCUGAUCCGGGAGACUCAGCUCAACAUCUCCUGGUAACACCUGCUGUGGGUAACAGCGUCGUGGGCAGGACCUGAGAGCGAGUUUUUCACAGAAUCAGCAGGUCUUUGGUAGUGAAAAUACCAAAUUUUGCUGUGUUCAGGUCCCUGUGUUUAACCAUCCUCACAGAGGGAGGCUGGAGGAAGCUUGGGUCAGCUGGUACCUUCCUCACUUCUCUCUUCCAGGUUUGCCCAUGUUUUCCUGGAGCCUGGGACAUUUGUCUUCAGGGACAGCUCCGUUCAGGAACGCUUCCUGAUUGUGACAGUGAACAAAGCCAAUGUGAGCUGUGACCCUGGGGACGUGUCCUUCCAGCCCUCCUCCCUGUUCCAGCUGGCCAGACACGGCAUUUUGAAGCAGCAGCAUCUGCACUUGGCUCCCAACUGGGCUGCAAUCACAGCAAUCCUCUUUGUCCUGGGCUUCCUCGUGCUGGUGCUGACCACCCUGGCCAUCGUGUUCCAGUCUGCUGGCCCCAAAAUUAGCCCCCUAAAGAGCUGGAAGCCACGAUGGAGGAGCCUGGGGGAGCCCCACGUCCCACCAGAGUACAUCCUCCUUAAGGACAGCCUCAAGUUCUAUCAGAUGCUUGGUCCUCGUGGAUCUGGAGCAGAUGCUGGCUCUGGAGAGAGAGGAGCAGUGCCCAGUGCAGAGCACAGCUUCAGCCCCAGGCUCCUGGAGGAUUUCAGUGUCCGCACCCUCUACGACAAGCUGGAGGAUCAGAAUUUGCACCUGGCCUCUCAGCUGGCAAAGCACAGGAUGGACGUGCUGGUGUUCCACAACAGGAUCAGCCACAGCAUCCAGAGCCUGGUGGUCAGUGGGGAGAGGCAUUUGAGGGAAGGGAGCCUUGGAACCAUCACAAUUUUUAAUUUAAAUGGCUGCCCUGAAGUGAAAGUUUAUCGAAGGAUGGGUGUUGCUCCUUUCAGUAGUUUAUUUUGGCAUAAAAUAAAUUUUUAUAUGGUUUUAUAUGAGGGGCUGAAUGUCAGUUGUGGGGUUGGCAAAAUAUAA